GUGGAAGAAGAUCUUCUGGACUUUGGAUUCUGGCUUGGAUUUCCAGAUUCUAACUCAACCAGAUCAACUGUAACUUUAUUUGCAGAAUAGCUGGAGAGAGAAGGACCUGACUGACCCAGCUCUGGAUGACAUGCCUGCCUCUAGACCAAUCAGCUAUGACCAGGAGUCUGCGGCCAUGUUGCAUAAAGUGGCACGGAGGAGCCAUGACAAGACCAUGGGGGUGACAGUUCCCAGGAAGAGGGACAGCAGACCGCAGUGAACACGCGGAGUGGAGGAGUUACGUGAGAGGUAGACCAGCUGGCUGGAGGGUGAAGGUGAAGUUUCCAGCCUGUGAACUCUGUCCUACAGACUUUACGGGGAAACUUGUCUUGCUGGCUUGAAAAGCCCCAAGAGCCUCCUGGGGAGAAACCCUCUGUUUGAAAUGAUGUGUUUCUGUCCCCAGCACCUAGC
Long non-coding RNA from Ailuropoda melanoleuca (giant panda), 450 nucleotides. RefSeq lists it as uncharacterized. The transcript has 3 exons. Lineage: Eukaryota; Metazoa; Chordata; Mammalia; Carnivora; Ursidae. The record is from RefSeq and is a predicted model, not a curated record.